AGAGCGAACGCUGGCGGCAUGCUUAACACAUGCAAGUCGCACGGUCAGUAAUGGCAGUGGCGGACGGGUGAGUAACACGUAGGAAUCUAUCUAUAGGUGGGGGACAACCGUGGGAAACUACGGCUAAUACCGCAUGAUGCCUGAGGGCCAAAGCAGCAAUGCGCCUACUGAGGAGCCUGCGUCUGAUUAGCUUGUUGGUGGGGUAAAGCCUACCAAGGCUACGAUCAGUAGCUGGUCUGAGAGGAUGAUCAGCCACAUUGGGACUGAGACACGGCCCAAACUCCUACGGGAGGCAGCAGUGGGGAAUAUUGGACAAUGGGCGCAAGCCUGAUCCAGCAAUGCCGCGUGGUGAAGAAGGUCUUCGGAUUGUAAAGCCCUUUUGGCAGGGACGAUGAUGACGGUACCUGCAGAAUAAGCCCGGCUAACUUCGCGCCAGCAGCCGCGGUAA
RNAcentral lists this ribosomal RNA (448 nucleotides) under uncultured bacterium. RNAcentral describes it as "SSU rRNA". It matches the Rfam family "Bacterial small subunit ribosomal RNA", at positions 26 to 523 of the family's 1533-position model. The record is from RNAcentral.